AGAGUUUGAUCAUGGCUCAGGAUGAACGCUGGCGGCGUGCUUAACACAUGCAAGUCGAACGAUGAUCCGGUGCUUGCGCCGGGGAUUAGUGGCGAACGGGUGAGUAACACGUGAGUAACCUGCCCUUGACUCUGGGAUAAGCCUGGGAAACUGGGUCUAAUACCGGAUAUGACUCCUCAUCGCAUGGUGGGGGGUGGAAAGCUUUUUGUGGUUUUGGAUGGACUCGCGGCCUAUCAGCUUGUUGGUGGGGUAAUGGCCUACCAAGGCGACGACGGGUAGCCGGCCUGAGAGGGUGACCGGCCACACUGGGACUGAGACACGGCCCAGACUCCUACGGGAGGCAGCAGUGGGGAAUAUUGCACAAUGGGCGAAAGCCUGAUGCAGCGACGCCGCGUGAGGGAUGACGGCCUUCGGGUUGUAAACCUCUUUCAGUAGGGAAGAAGCCCUCUUUGGGGGUGACGGUACUUGCAGAAGAAGCGCCGGCUAACUACGUGCCAGCAGCCGCGGUAAUACGUAGGGCGCAAGCGUUAUCCGGAAUUAUUGGGCGUAAAGAGCUCGUAGGCGGUUUGUCGCGUCUGCUGUGAAAGACCGGGGCUCAACUCCGGUUCUGCAGUGGGUACGGGCAGACUAGAGUGCAGUAGGGGAGACUGGAAUUCCUGGUGUA
Molecule: ribosomal RNA, 664 nt
Filed under: uncultured bacterium
Lineage: Bacteria
Description: bacterial SSU rRNA
Rfam family: Bacterial small subunit ribosomal RNA
Source: RNAcentral